Molecule: small RNA, 82 nt
Filed under: Flavobacterium flevense
Lineage: Bacteria; Pseudomonadati; Bacteroidota; Flavobacteriia; Flavobacteriales; Flavobacteriaceae
Description: Flavo-1 RNA
Rfam family: Flavo-1 RNA
Source: RNAcentral
CCCUAGCCCUGAUUGAAGUGAAAAUCCUUUUUAGUUUUUUCUUUAAAAACUAAAAAGAUUGAAACGGAAAGCAGGAUUAGCU